GCCGGGAAGCGUAAUCGAUCGGCAUUGGUAUCGUGGCGAUGAGCGAUUCUCCGGAGACAUAUCCUGUACACGCGAAUUGUAACGAUCACGCGGUUCUCUGCGCGACGGUCGUCCGUACCGACGCGAUGCGACGCGACGCGACGCGGCCGAAUUAAUUGAAUCGAAACGCUCGAACGUGUGUCGGCUGGCGAACGAAAUUUAUGCGUCUUACCGUUCGAGCUCGCAAUCAGUUUUCCUCGUGUCGAGCGUGCGACGAUAACGCGCGUGCACUUGCAUUGAGUAACGCGGAUCGCACUUUAGUCCCGUUCUAACAGCGCUUUAUAUUCUUAUUGUCCUCGACACUACGCUGUUCUGUCAUCGUUAUCAAAAGAAUAUCUCAUUCGAUCGCCAACUCCUCUUCAAUUUCUAGAUCCAGCUCUAUCUAGAAGAAGGUUGUGUCAAGAAGGGCCGCAAUCUGGAAGGGUGAAGGUUCAGAAUCGAUCGACACCACCCGUCGCGCCCGGCAAUUACCGAAAUCGUAAAAGACCAGAUCGGAAACCUACACCGUUGGAAGUUUGUCAAGGAGAUCGCAACGAGUCACGAACCAUCCAUUCUCUCUCUUUCUCGCGUGCGCGCGCGUUUCGUUUUCGAGAGCGAGACGAGCAUGGAAAUUAAUCGUGUCGUUGUUGUUCAAUGCUUCGAAGCGUAGCUGAUCGGCCUCACUUUCGUAUAACUUCCUCCAUAGGAUUUUUGUUCGAUGAGAGAGAGAGAGAGAGAGAGAGAGAGAGAGAGAGAGAAGCAAUAGCAGUCGCUUCCGAACUCAAGGCAAAUUAUACCAACUUUCGCGACUCGCGAAGUCACGAGCCGCGCAACUCGAAACUUUUCAACGGUUCGAUGCGAGCCGUUGCUCUAGCCCUCCGCCGCGAUGGCUGGGUCCAUCAGACCCAGCUACAUUGUUAUUCAACUUUCUUCGAGUUCCUUCCCAGCUUCGACAAAUUCUUCGACCCGAUCGCCGCAGCACCCAUCGAAGCAAUAGCUUCCAAGUUAUAUGCAUUACUUUCGGUACAAGUAUAUUCUGUUUCUUGUUA
Non-coding RNA from Megalopta genalis, 1067 nucleotides. The record is from RefSeq and is a predicted model, not a curated record. NCBI's taxonomy places the organism in Eukaryota, Metazoa, Arthropoda, Insecta, Hymenoptera, Halictidae.